GUUGGCUGAGCGGUAAAGUGCUUGGCUUCCGAACCGGGGGUUCCAGGUUCGAAUCCUGGUAAAGACA
Biomphalaria glabrata is the source of this 67-nucleotide non-coding RNA. The record is from Rfam. NCBI's taxonomy places the organism in Eukaryota, Metazoa, Mollusca, Gastropoda, Planorbidae.